Molecule: long non-coding RNA, 492 nt
Organism: Crotalus tigris (Tiger rattlesnake)
Lineage: Eukaryota; Metazoa; Chordata; Lepidosauria; Squamata; Viperidae
Exons: 3
Source: RefSeq, a predicted model, not a curated record
CUCAGGUGAAGCAAUGAAAGUGCUACAUUAUUACCUUGUGCAAGAUCUAAGUCAUUGUUUAUAAGCUACAAUGGGUGAAUUCCUACAAUGCCCUAACUGAAAACAGUUAAAUCACAUUCUUGCAUAAUGUGAAGUGUGAAUCCAGUCAGUGGCAGGGAUUAAUGGAAUGCUGAAGGUGAAGACGGAACUCCCAGAUUCAUGAAAUGAGAAGCUAACCUGUGAAACAAAUACCCAGAACAAUUUAAAACACACCACCCUGUGUUUGCCUGGUUUACAUGAAAAUGCUUUUGAAAUUCUUUCAAAAUAAUAAACCUGACAUGACUUUGGAAUCUCCCAUUAUACCAUUGUGUGUUGGAAAAAUAAACAGGGAGGAAAUUAAAAACUUGUUUAUUAUAUGGACUGUAGCUUGGAAUCUGGUUGAGCAAAACGUGAGCCUAGGAGCUCAUUUAAUGAAGUUACUUAAAUCCUGGCCCUUAGAUAUAAAAGGAGAUA